GCGGGCGUCGCCAAGUGGUAAGGCAUCAGCCUUCCAAGCUGACAUUCGCCAGUUCGAAUCUGGUCGCCCGCU
Molecule: transfer RNA, 72 nt
Filed under: Anaerolineaceae bacterium
Lineage: Bacteria; Bacillati; Chloroflexota; Anaerolineae; Anaerolineales; Anaerolineaceae
Description: tRNA-Gly
Rfam family: tRNA
About the family: Transfer RNA (tRNA) molecules are approximately 80 nucleotides in length. Their secondary structure includes four short double-helical elements and three loops (D, anti-codon, and T loops).
Source: RNAcentral